This is a long non-coding RNA of Saccostrea cuccullata (small rock oyster), 420 nucleotides long. RefSeq lists it as uncharacterized. The transcript is spliced from 4 exons. The record is from RefSeq and is a predicted model, not a curated record. Lineage: Eukaryota; Metazoa; Mollusca; Bivalvia; Ostreida; Ostreidae.
UAAUUUGGUAGAUCACCUACAAUACAAUAUCUCUAAUUAAAGGUGCCCAUUUGAUGAUUUUUUUAUUUGACGUUCUAUAAAAUUAAUUAAAGCUGCUAUGAACCACAUUGGAGGCAUAUCAGAUGGGUUCAAAGACAGCCCCUCAAUGAAGCCUUGGAACUCAGAAAUUCGGAGAAGGGAAUUGAGGAGAGAGCAAAACUCUUUGGAAAGGGUUUACCAGAAUUGAAUGCUUUGAUUUUGGGAGAGUUUGGGGUGUUCAAGCCUAAAUCAAUCAUAAGAAUAGGUUACUGCCAUGGUCACUAUUUGUCCAUGAAGGAUGACACCAACAGACUUCUCAUGGCUACACUCGAAGAUGAGAUGGGCCAAAAUAUGAAUGAAGGACUGCAGUAUUUCAGGGAUGUUUUGUUUGUUGAAGGGGAG